CUCUCUCUGUCUCCUCUCUCCCUCCUCUCUCUCUCUGUGUUCCAGUGAGCGUUUUUCAGAACCGAAUCACUUCCCCGUUCAGAACCUCCCCGUCGGAUCCUCCAAAGGAGAUCGUUCUUCAGAACACAGUCACUUUUCCAUCGGAUCCUCUAAAGGAAUUGAUGAUCAUGCUUCAUCUAUAUCACUGGCCCAACUUUCAAAGUCUGAAGGAGACGCACACUUGCUGCUGCUGCUUACACUCGUACGUUACACACACACUCGUACGUCACACACACACACACACACACACUCGUUCGUCACACACACACACUCGAACGUCACACACACACACUCGUACGUUACACACACACACUC
Long non-coding RNA from Oncorhynchus keta (chum salmon), 354 nucleotides. RefSeq lists it as uncharacterized. NCBI's taxonomy places the organism in Eukaryota, Metazoa, Chordata, Actinopteri, Salmoniformes, Salmonidae. The record is from RefSeq and is a predicted model, not a curated record. The transcript is spliced from 3 exons.